GACACUAUGGCCGAGCGGUUAAGGCGUGUGACUAGAAAUCACAUCUCUUCGGAGGCACAGGUUCAAAUCCUGUUGGUGUCG
RNAcentral lists this transfer RNA (81 nucleotides) under Cladophialophora immunda. RNAcentral describes it as "tRNA-Ser (AGA) (tRNA-Ser-AGA-1-1)". It matches the Rfam family "tRNA". From Rfam's summary of the family: Transfer RNA (tRNA) molecules are approximately 80 nucleotides in length. RNAcentral also lists the same sequence under 1 other name. Lineage: Eukaryota; Fungi; Ascomycota; Eurotiomycetes; Chaetothyriales; Herpotrichiellaceae. The record is from RNAcentral.